Molecule: unclassified non-coding RNA, 510 nt
Filed under: uncultured Entrophospora
Lineage: Eukaryota; Fungi; Glomeromycota; Glomeromycetes; Entrophosporales; Entrophosporaceae
Description: SSU rRNA
Rfam family: Eukaryotic small subunit ribosomal RNA
Source: RNAcentral
AGCAGCCGCGGUAAUUCCAGCUCCAAUAGCGUAUAUUAAAGUUGUUGCAGUUAAAAAGCUCGUAGUUGAAUUUCGGGAUUGACGUGAUGGUCGUGCCUUACGGGGUAUGAACUGUUGCUGUUGAUUUCUCACCUUCUGGAGAAACUUGAUGUCCUUAAUUGGGUGUCUUGCGGAUCCAGGACCUUUACCUUGAAAAAUUGAGUGUUUAAAGCAGGCAUUUUGCUCGAAUACAUUAGCAUGGAAUAAUAGAAUAGGACGGCAUGGUUCUAUUUUGUUGGUUUCUAGGAUCACCGUAAUGAUUAAUAGGGAUAGUUGGGGGCAUUAGUAUUCAAUUGUCAGAGGUGAAAUUCUUGGAUUUAUUGAAGACUAACUACUGCGAAAGCAUUUGCCAAGGAUGUUUUCAUUAAUCAAGAACGAAAGUUAGGGGAUCGAAGACGAUCAGAUACCGUCGUAGUCUAACCAUAAACUAUGCCGACUAGGGAUCGGAUGAUGUUAAUUUAUAAUGACUCU